UGUUGAAAAACUGAGAGUUAAUUAGUGCAAUUCACGGUUAAUUUGGGGCGUUGAGUAUUCAUAACUUAUCGAAAAGCAAUUGGAAAUCAUUUUGUAUGCAAGUGUGACAUGUGUGAAGAAGAACCUCCUAGCUAGCCUUCCAUCCAUAAGUUUUAAACCAAAGUCGUUUUAAAACCUGUUUUGUUUUACAAAGUUCUUAUUUUAUUUUAAAUUCGUCAAAACCAAUUCCCUCUGUAGUUUCAAGUGUCAUUUUAGUUAGAAAUCAAUUUAGUUUGUGUUUCUAAGUGUAUUGAGUCAAGUUAUAACAUAUUUUCGUUCAAUUUCUUCCUUAGUGUUCAAAACUGCCCAGAUUGUGUUU
This 358-nucleotide long non-coding RNA is filed under the name Malus domestica (apple). RNAcentral's name for it is "long non-coding RNA (MDOM_LNC003601)". The record is from RNAcentral. Lineage: Eukaryota; Viridiplantae; Streptophyta; Magnoliopsida; Rosales; Rosaceae.